GUUUUCAGUAUUCUGACAGAUGCUAUUCCUAACGUUAUGCUUUGACACAAGCAUGAGGGCUUUCGCCAUGCUCACGCUCUUGAGAGAUGAUGUCAGUAGAGUGCCACAAUAAUAUAAAUGGGGACAACUGUUCACUGAAACCGAUAGUGCUAUGAGGGAGGGAAGCACAGGCAACUGUGUGAAUUAAUUAUCCAUAGGACUAGGGGGAAAAAAACAAGGGCAGACCCAGCUCUGAGGAAGGGGACCCUGCCAGGAAUCUCCUUCAACAACAUCUAGAUAAGAUCAUGGUCAAUGAACAGCAAGGGGCUUGCAUCCAGGCACUUCUUCUCUACAGCUUCAUUUUAAUUCAGAAAAGAGUAAUGGAGUAAGAAAGACAAAUUUUGUUAGAAGGAAGUGAAUGGCAGCUCAGAGUCUCAGCUCUGUACAGGCACCAAAGAACCUAUUUAUGAAUAUUAUAGUAGGAAUACAUACUUUCUCUUAAGAAAGACUUCAGAAAGGGCAAAAGGAAGCUGGUGUAAUUAACCAGCAGGGUAAGUAAGGUUGUUACAAGCAAAAAGCCAUCUUUGAAAAUGCUGAAGUCAUAUUCCAGUGACACAAGAAGAAGGAGGUACAAAUGCUGUGAGGUUAAAUGUGAAAACAUAAUAAGGCAGACCAAAAAAGCAUAUGGAUAAUCACUAACAAAGGAAUCAAAAUUAAUAAUCCUUUUCGCUAUGAAACACAUCAGAGGCAGGAAUUUUGCUAGAAUCUGUACGACCAGUUCAUUUUCAGGUCAUGAAAGAGUACUCAGAGAAACAAGGUCAUUGCAGAGAAGUUAAGUGAACCCUUUGCAUUGGUGUUCGCUGUAGAAGGAACUGGAAAGAUUCCAAAACCAGAACCCUUCUUGGUGGGGGACUCGUCUGAAGAGCAGUCUGAAAAUGAAAUUACUGUAGAAGAGAUUAUGGAAUAAAUAGAUAAAGUGAAAAUCACCAGGACUGUAUAGUAUUCACUCCAAAUUUCUAAAGGAACUCAAGGACAAAAGAGCUGAAUUACUCACUGCAGGGUGUAACCUAUUGCUUAAAAUUGCCUUGCUUCUGGAAGGCGGCAGAUGUGACAUCAAUUCUUUAAAAAGAUUCCAGGGAAAAUCUGGGAAAUAGUAGGAAUCUAAGUCUGAUGCGUGUUGGGCAAAUUACUAGAAACUAUGAUAAGAAACAAAAUUAGGGGACAUCUGGGUAGUUCUGAUUUAUUUGGGAAGAGUCAGCAUUCUGUUGAGGAAAAUAUGGCUUUACAAUUCUGAUAAAAGGUUUUUCAAAGGGGCUGUAAAGGGUUGGGCUAAUAUGGGGAUGAUGAUGAUGAUGUCAAUACAGUCUACUUUGAUUUCCAAAAGACUUGAGUUCAGGUUAGAAUUAGGGUUUGCUAAAUACAAAUGUCUACAGGGAUGGUAAGACUAAAGGUAGAAAAAAAGACCACCAAGGCAGAACUUCAGGGGUGGCUUAUAGGGAGCACAUUAUGUGAGGGCACCGAGAGCACGUCCAGCCUGGUCUGACAUAAGCCUUGGGGCAUGACUAAGGAAAAGUUAUUCCAAAAGGUGUGACUCGUUCCCAAAUGGAGGAUAAGGCACAGAAGAGCAAAGACCUUGUACCAGUGAGACACUAUUCACUGUAUUGGUUUUUUUUCAGUGCAUUCAGAAGUAGCUCAGUAAAUAGGAUUUUGCCAAUACAAGUAAAAGGCCAGAAACUCCAUUGUGACUUGACAGUGCAGGGUCUCAGGAGCUGUCUGGGCUUGUCUUGACAUGACCUGAUUUUAAUUUGUUUCAGAUUGUAUUUUUUGUGUGUGUGUGUAUGUGUGCAUGAAAAUCAUCUAGUGAUCAAGUGGGUGUUGCCUGACUGGGUUGAGCGUGGCCUGUGUACACUAUAUAUGGUAAAAGCCUAACUACCCUACUGUAUCAGUGGCUUUUUAUGUUGAAGGAAGCUGUAGGAGGCUGUGGGGCAAAUUUCAGACUUUAGCAAUGAGAAGAAUGCCAACUAUAGUAAGAAAACCCACGCAGAUCCCAAAUCAGAGGGGAGAGAGACUCCUACUGUGAACAUUAAACUUUUUCCAUCAAAAGAAACGGGAGGCCAAUGACUCAUAACACCUCCAUUUCUGACACACUCCUUUUAUGGAAGAUGGAAGUUGUCGACCUUAGCACCCAGUGGGACAUACAGCAGGUGAGCACAGCACCACAGAA
This is a long non-coding RNA of Empidonax traillii (willow flycatcher), 2203 nucleotides long. RefSeq lists it as uncharacterized. The transcript has 3 exons. Lineage: Eukaryota; Metazoa; Chordata; Aves; Passeriformes; Tyrannidae. The record is from RefSeq and is a predicted model, not a curated record.